UAAUACGGAGGAUGCAAGCGUUAUCCGGAUUCAUUGGGUUUAAAGGGUACGUAGGUGGCCUGUUAAGUCAGUGGUGAAAGUUUGCCGCUUAACGGUAAAAUUGCCAUUGAUACUGAUGGGCUUGAGUGCAGAUGAGGUAGGCGGAAUGUGUAGUGUAGCGGUGAAAUGCUUAGAUAUUACACAGAACUCCGAUUGCGAAGGCAGCUUACUAAACUGUAACUGACGCUGAGGUACGAAAGCGUGGGGAGCGAACAGGAUUAGAUACCCUGGUAGUCCACGCCGUAAACGAUGCUCACUCGCUGUAUGCGAUAUAUAGUAUGCGGCCAAGCGAGAGCAUUAAGUGAGCCACCUGGGGAGUACGCCGGCAACGGUG
RNAcentral lists this ribosomal RNA (373 nucleotides) under uncultured bacterium. RNAcentral's name for it is "bacterial SSU rRNA". It matches the Rfam family "Bacterial small subunit ribosomal RNA", at positions 521 to 896 of the family's 1533-position model. The record is from RNAcentral.